UGAGAUGCUUUUAAAGUGUAAACAUAUUACUGCAAUUUCGAGGGGUUAUUUGUUUUUUCUCAAUUUUGAAGGGUCAAUUAAAGUAGCUGAAAGUUUCAUUCUUUAUUUUCACAAAUAAUGCAACUAUAUUAUAUAUACCUUAAUGUAAGUAAAUCAUAUGAUAUAUAGGUGGCAUUCUUUGGGCCACUCUACCCCCUCCUGUUUGAUAACUUGGAAACGGUCGAGCUCCCCACCCUAAACCAUAUGAGGGGCAGAUCCAGGAUUUUAGGUUAGGAGGGGCGCAAACUUAAAUUUUCGCCGAGCAGAGCGAGGCUAAAAAAAAAUUGAGGUAAAAUUAUCGGAAUUUUUCUUUAUUAAGCUGAGAACAACCCAUGCUUUGCAAAUUUAAGGGGGGUGCAAGCCCGCAACCCUCCCCCGUCUGAAUCCGCCCCUGCAUAUAUUCAAGUAUAGGACAAUAUAAUAAAUAAAAAAUGAAAUAUAGGGGGAGUCCCUGGAGUUACCCCACCCCUUCCUGUUUGAGAACUUGGAAACGGUCGAGAUCCACACCCCUUAACCAUAUAUAUUCAUGUUUGUGACAAUAUGAAAAAUCAAAUGAAAUAUAGGAAGAGUCGCUAGGGGUCACCCCACCCCUCCUGUUUUAGAAUUUAAAAAUGGUCGAGAUCCCCAUCCCUAAACCAUAUAUAUUCAUGUAUGGGACAAUAUAACAAAUCAGAUGAAAGAUAGGGGAGUCCCUGAGGUCACUGUUCACCCUCCUGUUUGAGAACUUGGAAAUGGUCAAGAUCCUUACCCUAAACCAUAUAUACUCAUGUAUGGGACAAUAUAACAAAUCAAAUGAAAUAUAAGGGAAGUCCCUGUGGUCAUCCCAACCCUCCUGUUUGAGAACUUGGAAACGGUCGAGAUCCCCACACCAAAACAAUAUAUAUUCAUGUAUGGAUCAAUAUAACUAAUUAAAUGAAAUAUAGGGGGAGUCCCUUGGGUCACCCUACCUUCCUGUUUGAGAACUUGGAAACCAAUGAGAUCCCCCCCUAAACCAUAUAUAUUCAUGUAUGGGGACAAUAUAACAAAUAAAAUGAAAUGUAGGGGAAGUCCCUAGGGUCACCCUACCCCCAGUGGCGGAUCCAGAAAUUUUCAUAAGUGGGGCCCACUGACUGACCUAAGAGGGGCCCGCUCCAGUGAUUCCCUAUAUAAGCAACCAAAUUUUUUCCAAAAAAGGGGGGGGGGCCGGGCCCCCUGCCCCCUAAAUCCUCUGCCUACCCCUACCUGUUUGAGAACUUGAAAACCGUUGAGAUCCCCACCCCUAAAUUAUAUAUAUUCAUAUGUAUGGGACAAAAUAACAAAUCAUUUACAUUUACUAUGGGCAAGUCAGUCAGACCUCAUCUUUGAUCCCUGUUGUAGUGAACAUUUGUCUGAUUCGUGUCUCAUAACUUUUGUACUAUAGAAC
RNAcentral lists this long non-coding RNA (1441 nucleotides) under Mytilus galloprovincialis (Mediterranean mussel). Lineage: Eukaryota; Metazoa; Mollusca; Bivalvia; Mytilida; Mytilidae. The record is from RNAcentral.